RNAcentral lists this ribosomal RNA (444 nucleotides) under uncultured soil bacterium. RNAcentral describes it as "bacterial SSU rRNA". It matches the Rfam family "Bacterial small subunit ribosomal RNA", at positions 26 to 518 of the family's 1533-position model. The record is from RNAcentral.
AGAGCGAACGCUGGCGGCAGGCCUAACACACGCAAGUCGAACGGACCCUUCGGGGUUAGUGGCGGACGGGUGAGUAACACGUGGGAACGUGCCUUUUGGUUCGGAAUAGCUCCUGGAAACGGGUGGUAAUGCCGAAUGUGCCCUUCGGGGGAAAGAUUUAUCGCCAUUAGAGCGGCCCGCGUCUGAUUAGCUAGUUGGUGAGGUAAUGGCUCACCAAGGCGACGAUCAGUAGCUGGUCUGAGAGGAUGACCAGCCACAUUGGGACUGAGACACGGCCCAAACUCCUACGGGAGGCAGCAGUGGGGAAUAUUGGACAAUGGGCGAAAGCCUGAUCCAGCAAUGCCGCGUGAGUGAUGAAGGCCUUAGGGUGUAAAGCUCUUUUACCCGAGAUGAUAAUGACAGUAUCGGAGAAUAAGCCCCGACUAACUCCGCGCCAGCAGCCGC